UGAAUACGAGACGCUAAGGCGUCGAAGUAGUGUAUGUCAUACUUCCAAGAAAAGCUUGCACUGUCAUAGAUAAAAAACGCCUGUACCAUAACCGACACAGGUGGGUAGGUAGAGUAUACUAAGGGGCGCGAGAUAACUCUCUCUAAGGAACUCGGCAAAAUAACUCCGUAACUUCGGGAGAAGGAGUGCCUUAUUCGUAAGGUUGCAAUAACAAGAUCCAAGCAACUGUUUAUCAAAAACACAGGUCUCCGCUAAGUCGUAAGACGAUGUAUGGGGGCUGACGCCUGCCCAGUGCCAGAAGGUUAAAGAAGUUGGUUAGCAAUUGCGAAGCUGAUAACUGAAGCCCUGGUGAACGGCGGCCGUAACAAUAACGGUCCUAAGGUAGCGAAAUUCCUUGUCGGGUAAGUUCCGACCCGCACGAAAGGCGUAAUGAUUUGGAUACUGUCUCGGAGAGGGGCUCGGUGAAAUAGACUUGUCUGUGAAGAUGCGGACUACCUGCACCAGGACAGAAAGACCCUAUGAAGCUUUACUGUAACUUGAAAUUGAAAUUGGACUUUAUUCGCGCAGUAUAGGUGGGAGGCGUUGAUUAUAAUCUUGUGGGAUUAUUGGAGCCAUCAGUGAGAUACCACUCUUGUAAUGUUAGAUUUCUAACUUUGAAUCAUUAUCUGGUCAAAGAACAGUUUCAGGCGGGCAGUUUGACUGGGGCGGUCGCCUCCUAAACGGUAACGGAGGCGUACAAAGGUUUCCUCUGAACGGUUAGAAAUCGUAUCUAGAGUGUAAAGGCAUAAGGAAGCUUGACUGUGAGACCUACAAGUCGAGCAGGGACGAAAGUCGGUUUUAGUGAUCUGACGGUACUGAGUGGAAAGGCCGUCACUCAACGGAUAAAAGUUACUCUAGGAUAACAGGCUGAUCUCCCCCAAGAGUUCACAUCGACGGGGAGGUUUGGCACCUCGAUGUCGGCUCAUCGCAUCCUGGGGCGGUAGUACGUCCCAAGGGUUGGGCUGUUCGCCCAUGAAAGCGGUACGCGAGCUGGGUUCAGAACGUCGUGAGACAGUUCGGUCCAUAUCCGGUGUAGGCGUUAGAAUAUUGAGAGGAGCCUUCUUUAGUACGAGAGGACCGAGAAGGACAUACCUCUGGUGUACCAGUUAUCGUGCCAACGGUAAACGCUGGGUAGCUAUGUAUGGAGUGGAUAACCGCUGAAAGCAUCUAAGUGGGAAACCCACCUCAAGAUAAGUAUUCUCAUCA
Molecule: ribosomal RNA, 1245 nt
Filed under: metagenome
Description: bacterial LSU rRNA
Rfam family: Bacterial large subunit ribosomal RNA
Source: RNAcentral